CUUGACCGUAUUGACUUCACUCUGCUUGAUGCCACCUCUGUUCUCUUGUAGGUCUUAAAGCACUCAUAGAGUGUCAUUGUGAUGGGCUGCCGCUCUUCUACCUGUGCCAGGUGUGUAAGUGUAAAGUCCUGCAGAACUCGAUUAUCUCCCAUGUCACUGGAGACAAUCACCGACAAUUAUCCCUGUGGCCUAUGAAUACUAUUCCCAAACGCCACAGGAGGUUGAGGGCAGCUGCCUUAAAGCUGGAGAAGACCUUGGGAUAUGGAGAAUUUAAGGUAGCAGUGUUGAAUGCGCGAACAUAUCAUUCUAUUUCUACUAAUUCCAUUCCCUUCGACAUGAAGGUAAAGAUGGUCUUGUGUGAUCACUAUUCAAGUGACCCCCGAUAUUUCGUCAUGCCUCUAGCUAAGAAGCCUAAGCCCAAGCUGAAGAAAAACAGUAAUGUCAAAACUCUGGCCCUAGACUGCAAUGACGUGUGUUCUCCCGCAGCACCCGCUGGGAGAUUCCCUGCUCUGUGGCGCUACCUGCAGCAGUCCAACAGACAGCCUGUCAUUGGUGUUGGUAUGUUGACAGAGUUGACCGAACGAGAUGGUGACUACGUCCUGUGUGGAUGCUGUUCUCACAAGAUGUUUCCAUCCUCUGUCACCUCACACGUCAUCUCUUCCAGACACCGCUACUACUACAUAAGAAUGGCACAUCCUGAGCUGGCUGUUAAUUGGCCAGAAAGUCCAGCGCUGAUUGUGUAUAAUGGGCCUCUUCAAAGAGAGCUGAGAGUGCAAGCUAAAGAACUGGAGGGUCAGGAAGGACCUGAACAUCCCCAGGUGGUGAAAGAAACAUCUGCUACAUCGGGAGGUGGACCCACAACCUGCCCAGAAGAGGUUGUCGAACAGAUCCAGAUUCACUCCGCUCCUGUCUCUGUGGAAGAGGAACCGGUUAACUCAGAGCCAUCACAGCCCCUCGGAGAAAAGAAAAAGACGAGGAAUAGGGGCAAUCCUGUGGUUGGAGUGAACUUCCUGGUCCGGGUGUCUCACAGAAAUAGGAAACAAUACUACUGUCAGCUGUGCUCCGUUAGGGUGAAGCAUCCCGUUAUUGAUCACAUGACCAGCCUCCGCCAUCGACACAGCUAUGUGAAAUUGAAGUACCCCAGUUGGACCUCCGACUCAGAGGCAAAGCUGUUCAAGAUGGCUUUUCACCUGGAGAAGGUGGAUCGAAGCGCUGGACUGGGCAUGCAGAAAGUAGAAGUGGAUGCUGUUGAAUUCAAGGAUCUAAGGUCUUGCCCUGUGGAGGAAGCUCUCAGUAAACUGCAGGCCAUUAUCAUACAGCAACAAGAGCCAGGUGAUCUGAAGAUGCAUCCCUCAACCAAUCAGAACCCAGAAGAUCUGAGACAGACUGCUCCCUCAUUGAGACCUGUCAGUGCCCAAGGGCCAUCUAACGGAGACCAGGAACACCUACAAGUACCUGCCUCCUCUCUCCAGGAUCAGCCGUCCUUUGGCUCCACAUCUGUCCCCCUCUCAUCCUCCAGUCCUCCUUGCCUCUCUCCCUCAAACUCCUUCUCUGCCUCUCUCCCCGCAGUGUCCCUAUCUGCCUCAACCUCCCUUUCUUCCUUUGUUCCAUCCUACACUCCCGUUUUGUCCACUGAGAAGACGACUGACCCCUCAUCAGAUGUUGUCUCUGUCCCCGAUCCUGUCUGUGAUCCUGUCUCUGUCCCUUCACCCCUCUCCGCUCUAAAGAACCCAACACAUCUGAAGGACUGCGAGAGUCCAGAGUGGUGGGAGAGGAGGAGCCCAGAAAACAGAGAGACACUAAUGCUUCUGGAACUCCCAGACAAACAGACGGAGUACGCGGCGGGAGACCGGCUGACGGAGUACGCGGCGGGAGACCGGCUGACGGAGUACGCGGCGGGAGACCGGCUGACGGAGUACGCGGCGG
Long non-coding RNA from Esox lucius (northern pike), 1926 nucleotides. Lineage: Eukaryota; Metazoa; Chordata; Actinopteri; Esociformes; Esocidae. The record is from Ensembl.